AUUGAACGCUGGCGGCAUGCCUUACACAUGCAAGUCGAACGGUAACGGGCCUUCGGGUGCCGACGAGUGGCGAACGGGUGAGUAAUACAUCGGAACGUGCCCCAUCGCGGGGGAUAACGAGGCGAAAGCUUUGCUAAUACCGCAUACGAUCUACGGAUGAAAGCAGGGGACCGCAAGGCCUUGCGCGGGCGGAGCGGCCGAUGGCAGAUUAGGUAGUUGGUGGGAUAAAAGCUUACCAAGCCGACGAUCUGUAGCUGGUCUGAGAGGAUGAUCAGCCACACUGGGACUGAGACACGGCCCAGACUCCUACGGGAGGCAGCAGUGGGGAAUUUUGGACAAUGGGCGCAAGCCUGAUCCAGCCAUGCCGCGUGCAGGAUGAAGGCCUUCGGGUUGUAAACUGCUUUUGUACGGAACGAAAAGCCUUCUUUUAAUACAGGAGGGUCAUGACGGUACCGUAAGAAUAAGCACCGGCUAACUACGUG
RNAcentral lists this ribosomal RNA (482 nucleotides) under uncultured bacterium. RNAcentral's name for it is "partial 16S ribosomal RNA". It matches the Rfam family "Bacterial small subunit ribosomal RNA", at positions 30 to 507 of the family's 1533-position model. The record is from RNAcentral.